This 433-nucleotide ribosomal RNA is filed under the name uncultured bacterium. Its description in RNAcentral is "partial 16S ribosomal RNA". It matches the Rfam family "Bacterial small subunit ribosomal RNA", at positions 29 to 507 of the family's 1533-position model. The record is from RNAcentral.
AACGAACGCUGGCGGCAUGCCUAACACAUGCAAGUCGAACGAGACCUUCGGGUCUAGUGGCGCACGGGUGCGUAACGCGUGGGAACCUGCUCUUAGGUUCGGAAUAACUCCCCGAAAGGGGUGCUAAUACCGGAUAAUGUCUUCGGACCAAAGAUUUAUCGCCUUUGGAUGGGCCCGCGUUGGAUUAGCUAGUUGGUAGGGUAAAAGCCUACCAAGGCGACGAUCCAUAGCUGGUCUGAGAGGAUGAUCAGCCACACUGGGACUGAGACACGGCCCAGACUCCUACGGGAGGCAGCAGUGGGGAAUAUUGGACAAUGGGCGAAAGCCUGAUCCAGCAAUGCCGCGUGAGUGAUGAAGGCCUUAGGGUUGUAAAGCUCUUUUACCCGGGAUGAUAAUGACAGUACCGGGAGAAUAAGCGCCGGCUAACUCCGUG